Molecule: ribosomal RNA, 214 nt
Filed under: Seriolina nigrofasciata
Lineage: Eukaryota; Metazoa; Chordata; Actinopteri; Carangiformes; Carangidae
Description: partial 12S ribosomal RNA
Source: RNAcentral
UUGCCAGCCGCCGCGGUUAUACGAGAGGCCUAAGUUGAUAGACAGCGGCGUAAAGAGUGGUUAAGGAAAGUACAAAACUAAAGCCGAACGCCUUCAGAACUGUCAUACGUCUUCGAAGGUAUGAAGCCCGACCACGAAAGUGGCUUUAUUCCCCCUGAACCCACGAAAGCUAAGGAACAAACUGGGAUUAGAUACCCCACUAUGCUUAGCCCUG